This 152-nucleotide non-coding RNA is filed under the name Corynebacterium accolens ATCC 49725. Lineage: Bacteria; Bacillati; Actinomycetota; Actinomycetes; Mycobacteriales; Corynebacteriaceae. The record is from RNAcentral. RNAcentral also lists the same sequence under 1 other name.
UAGGGCGCAUGGUGGAUGCCUUGGCAUGCUGAGCCGAUGAAGGACGUGUAAGGCUGCGUUAAGCCUCGGGGAGUUGUCAAUAAAGCGUUGAUCCGAGGAUGUCCGAAUGGGGAAACCUGGCCCUGGUUAUGUGGGGUUACCCUUCAGUGAAU